AAUCAACGCUGGCGGCGUGCCUCAGACAUGCAAAUCGAACGAUUAAAGCUCUCUUCGGAGAGUGUAUAGAGUGGCGCACGGGUGAGUAACACGUAAGUAAUCUACCCUCGAGUGGGGAAUAACGUUCGGAAACGAACGCUAAUACCGCAUAAUGCAGCGGCAUCGCAAGAUGACAGUUGUUAAAGGAGUAAUUCGCUUGA
This 200-nucleotide ribosomal RNA is filed under the name uncultured bacterium. RNAcentral describes it as "partial 16S ribosomal RNA". It matches the Rfam family "Bacterial small subunit ribosomal RNA", at positions 32 to 222 of the family's 1533-position model. The record is from RNAcentral.